Molecule: ribosomal RNA, 586 nt
Filed under: uncultured bacterium
Lineage: Bacteria
Description: partial 16S ribosomal RNA
Rfam family: Bacterial small subunit ribosomal RNA
Source: RNAcentral
UGGGGAAUUUUGGACAAUGGGCGAAAGCCUGAUCCAGCAAUGCCGCGUGUGUGAAGAAGGCCUUCGGGUUGUAAAGCACUUUUGUCCGGAAAGAAAUCCUUGGCUCUAAUACAGUCGGGGGAUGACGGUACCGGAAGAAUAAGCACCGGCUAACUACGUGCCAGCAGCCGCGGUAAUACGUAGGGUGCAAGCGUUAAUCGGAAUUACUGGGCGUAAAGCGUGCGCAGGCGGUUUGCUAAGACCGAUGUGAAAUCCCCGGGCUCAACCUGGGAACUGCAUUGGUGACUGGCAGGCUAGAGUAUGGUAGAGGGGGGUAGAAUUCCACGUGUAGCAGUGAAAUGCGUAGAGAUGUGGAGGAAUACCGAUGGCGAAGGCAGCCCCCUGGGCCAAUACUGACGCUCAUGCACGAAAGCGUGGGGAGCAAACAGGAUUAGAUACCCUGGUAGUCCACGCCCUAAAACGAUGUCAACUAGUUGUUGGGGAUUCAUUUCCUUAGUAACGUAGCUAACGCGUGAAGUUGACCGCCUGGGGAGUACGGUCGCAAGAUUAAAACUUAAAUGAAUUGACGGGGUCAUAGCUGUUUCCU